RNAcentral lists this ribosomal RNA (253 nucleotides) under uncultured bacterium. RNAcentral describes it as "partial 16S ribosomal RNA". It matches the Rfam family "Bacterial small subunit ribosomal RNA", at positions 524 to 776 of the family's 1533-position model. The record is from RNAcentral.
UACAGAGGUCUCAAGCGUUGUUCGGAUUCAUUGGGCGUAAAGGGUGCGUAGGCGGCGCGGUAAGUCGGGUGUGAAAUCUCGGGGCUUAACUCCGAAACUGCAUUCGAUACUGCCGUGCUCGAGGACUGGAGAGGAGACUGGAAUUUACGGUGUAGCGGUGAAAUGCGUAGAUAUCGUAAGGAAGACCAGUGGCGAAGGCGGGUCUCUGGACAGUUCCUGACGCUGAGGCACGAAGGCCAGGGGAGCAAACGGG